Molecule: ribosomal RNA, 433 nt
Filed under: uncultured bacterium
Lineage: Bacteria
Description: partial 16S ribosomal RNA
Rfam family: Bacterial small subunit ribosomal RNA
Source: RNAcentral
AACGAACGCUGGCGGCAUGCCUAACACAUGCAAGUCGAACGAGACCUUCGGGUCUAGUGGCGCACGGGUGCGUAACGCGUGGGAACCUGCCCUUAGGUUCGGAAUAACUCCCCGAAAGGGGUGCUAAUACCGGAUAAUGUCUUCGGACCAAAGAUUUAUCGCCUUUGGAUGGGCCCGCGUUGGAUUAGCUAGUUGGUAGGGUAAAAGCCUACCAAGGCGACGAUCCAUAGCUGGUCUGAGAGGAUGAUCAGCCACACUGGGACUGAGACACGGCCCAGACUCCUACGGGAGGGAGGCGUGGGGAAUAAUGGAAAAUGGGGGGAAGGCUGAACCCGCCAUGGCGCGUGAGUGGUUAAGGGCUUAGGGUUGUAAAGCUCUUUUACCCGGGAUGAUAAUGACAGUACCGGGAGAAUAAGCUCCGGCUAACUCCGUG